CGGUCUUAGGCUUCGCAUGUAGGCUUCUAAGGAAGAAGUCGUCGAGUUGCCACUCGCAGAACAACUACCAGGCGUCGAGGUCACGUCUGACGACGUCCAGGUGUUGCUUCUCGGCAGAGUACAUGUUAGAAAGGGGAUGAAGAUAUGCGUAAGAGGCGAUCACGAAGGCGCAGCGCAGAUGCUGCUAGAGCAAUUGUUAAAUGUCUUCUAGAAAUCAUGUCGCGGAGGCCCGAAACCAUCAACCUCCGCGAGGAAGGUGUGCGUUCGCAGCAAAACGUCAGAGAGCGCCGCCAGGGAAUUAUCACACCUGAGUAUUCAAACCUUAGAGAAGAGCACGAGGACCUUUCAGUUUGAUUUUCCUCUCAUUGCGCACGGGUUGGGGUUAAAUCCCACCGCCCUCGGAACCGGUCAUGCCGCUCCUGUGGCACUCAGGCCUUGACAUCCGUGGAUGCUGCGGUCGGACAAAAUAUGGUAAUUAAGAGCUCGUCUGGCAGUUGCAGGAGGAGGAAGCAGCCACGAUACGUGCACUAUGUAACGACUAACUGUCGUUGGUUGCGCACGAUCGAUUGUAGCCGUGGCUGCUCCAUUGACAUUCAUACACGCAGCUCAGAUGGGUGGUACGGGGGCGAGAAUUCUAUUCCGUUCCACGCUCUCUCGCAGUCAAGUCUCGCCUCAGGUUGCAAACGCGACGUUGAGCUCGAGCUGAGUGUCGCUACGUUGAUACCCUAACCCUAACCCUAACCCUAAUUGCAUUUUCACUAGUUUAAAACCUGGUAAUUAGUCCUGUGAGCAUGUUCACAAGAAUAGAAGAUUCAUAACCCUCGUACUUAGCUCGUUGAAAUAGUAAGGUUUAAAACGAAUCUGUAUGUGUGUAAAGAAGUUAAAUAACAUUGGAAAUUAAUUUAGACGAAUUUCAAAGUCAAUUACACUCAUAAAAUCAUGAAUAAUUAGAAAAAUGAAUUGUGUAAGUACUUUGAGAUGAUAAUAAUAAGGUAAAU
Molecule: long non-coding RNA, 998 nt
Filed under: Physcomitrium patens
Lineage: Eukaryota; Viridiplantae; Streptophyta; Bryopsida; Funariales; Funariaceae
Description: long non-coding RNA (PPAT_LNC007905)
Source: RNAcentral